Molecule: ribosomal RNA, 717 nt
Filed under: uncultured Nitrososphaerota archaeon
Lineage: Archaea; Thermoproteati; Nitrososphaerota
Description: bacterial SSU rRNA
Rfam family: Archaeal small subunit ribosomal RNA
Source: RNAcentral
CAUCCUGCACAGGUCCGCCUCAGGAUGGGGCUGCGGCCCAUCAGGUAGUGGGCGGGGUAAAGGCCCACCAAGCCGAUAACGGGUGCGGGCUCUGGAAGGAGGAGCCCGGAGAUGGGCACUGAGACAAGGGCCCAGGUCCUACGGGGCGCAGCAGGCGCGAAACCUCCACAAUGCGGGAAACCGCGAUGGGGUUACCCCGAGUGUCGCCCGCUGAGGGCGACUUUUCUGGGGUCUAAAAAGCCCCAGGAAUAAGGGGAGGGCAAGUCUGGUGUCAGCCGCCGCGGUAAUACCAGCUCCCCGAGUGGUCGGGACGUUUAUUGGGCCUAAAGCGCCCGUAGCCGGCCCGGUGUGUCUCCCGUCAAAUCCGCCGGCUCAACCGGCGGACCGCGGGGGAUACUAUCGGGCUAGGGGGCGGGAGAGGUCGGGGGUACUCCCGGGGUAGGGGUAAAAUCCUCUGAUCCCGGGAAGACCACCGGUGGCGAAGGCGUCCGGCCAGAACGCGCCCGACGGUGAGGGGCGAAAGCUGGGGGAGCGAACCGGAUUAGAUACCCGGGUAGUCCCAGCUGUAAACGAUGCGGGCUAGGUGCUGGAGGGGCUACGGGCCCCUCCAGUGCCGCAGGGAAGCCGUUAAGCCCGCCGCCUGGGGAGUACGGCCGCAAGGCUGAAACUUAAAGGAAUUGGCGGGGGAGCACACAAGGGGUGAAGCCUGCGGUUCAA